RNAcentral lists this ribosomal RNA (397 nucleotides) under uncultured bacterium. Its description in RNAcentral is "bacterial SSU rRNA". It matches the Rfam family "Bacterial small subunit ribosomal RNA", at positions 28 to 417 of the family's 1533-position model. The record is from RNAcentral.
GACGAACGCUGGCGGCGUGCUUAACACAUGCAAGUCGAGCGGGAUCCAACCGGUGGCAACACCGGGGAAGAUCUAGCGGCGAACGGGUGAGUAACACGUGAGCAACCUGCCCCGAAGACUGGGAUAACACCGGGAAACCGGUGCUAAUACCGGAUGUCGUCAUUAGGCCGCAUGACCUGAUGAUGAAAGGAUUCAUCGCUUCGGGAGGGGCUCGCGGACUAUCAGCUGUUGGUGGGGUAACGGCCUACCAAGGCGACGACGGCUAGCUGGUCUGAGAGGACGACCAGCCACACUGGGACUGAGACACGGCCCAGACUCCUACGGGAGGCAGCAGUGGGGAAUCUUGCGCAAUGGGCGAAAGCCUGACGCAGCGACGCCGCGUGAGGGAUGACGGCCU